CUUGGUCAUUUAGAGGAAGUAAAAGUCGUAACAAGGUUUCCGUAGGUGAACCUGCGGAAGGAUCAUUAGUGAACGCCCUCACGGGCUUAUAACUAUUCCAAACCUCUGUGAACCGUGCCCUUCGGGGCUAUUUUACAAACAUGGUGUAAUGAACGUCAUAUAUCAUAACAAAACAAAACUUUCAACAACGGAUCUCUUGGCUCUCGCAUCGAUGAAGAACGCAGCGAAAUGCGAUAAGUAAUGUGAAUUGCAGAAUUCAGUGAAUCAUCGAAUCUUUGAACGCACCUUGCGCCCUCUGGUAUUCCGGAGGGCAUGCCUGUUUGAGUGUCAUGUAGACUCAAUCCCUCGGGUUUCCGAGGAGAUUGGACUUGGGUGUUGCCGCUCUGCCGGCUCGCCUUAAAAGACUUAGCGGGAUAGCACCGUAGUCGGCGUAAUAAGUUUCGUCGGUGAAGGUUGUGAUGACUGCUUACAAUCGCCCUCGGGCAAUUUUUGACUCUGACCUCAGAUCAGGUAGGACUACCCGCUGAACUUAAGCAUAUCAAUAAGCGGAGGA
This 553-nucleotide ribosomal RNA is filed under the name uncultured fungus. Its description in RNAcentral is "eukaryotic LSU rRNA". The stretch from base 177 to 330 matches the Rfam family "5.8S ribosomal RNA". Lineage: Eukaryota; Fungi. RNAcentral also lists the same sequence under 1 other name. The record is from RNAcentral.